RNAcentral lists this unclassified non-coding RNA (200 nucleotides) under soil metagenome. RNAcentral describes it as "partial contains internal transcribed spacer 2 and large subunit ribosomal RNA". The record is from RNAcentral.
AGACUCAUCCCUUCGGGUUUCCGACUGGAUGGAUUUGGGCGUCUGCCAUACUGUGGCUCGCCUUAAAAGCCUAAGUGGUUGCAUAGGACGUAAUAAGUUUCGCCCUUGACCGCUCAUAACCCUUUUUCUCUCUUGCAAAAGAGUUGAAAUACCACCUUUGAUCUGACCUCAAAUCAGGUAGGGCUACCCGCUGAACUUAA